This is a long non-coding RNA of Ornithodoros turicata, 214 nucleotides long. RefSeq lists it as uncharacterized. The transcript is spliced from 3 exons. The record is from RefSeq and is a predicted model, not a curated record. NCBI's taxonomy places the organism in Eukaryota, Metazoa, Arthropoda, Arachnida, Ixodida, Argasidae.
CGCUGCUCCACUUCCACAAAGGAAGAAAGUACUAUGCAAAUUGCAAGGAAGAGAAGGGCAACAGUUGAACAAAAGGAUUAUUACACAGCAGAAGUAAUUUAUGUCUUUGCUCAUCUGGUGAGGGAGAUCAAUCUGACCUGUUCACUUGUGAAAGCUGCAACAGAUGAACAAGCUGGAGAUUCACUCGCACACCAAUAUGCACAUCCCAAACACU